AUCAUUUAUGUGCGGAGAGUGCUUUUUACUGUUCCCAACAACAGAAGAAUUCAAUGCCCAUAAUUGCCAGGAAUCCCAAGUAGGAGGAGUGCAAAGUAUUGUUGAACAAGAUGUCAGCUGCCAGGAACCAGUUACGGGACAUCUUGAUGUUCCUGAAAGUAAUCCUUGACCAUGGGACAACAAAUCAAGUCGUUUGCUUAUUAAUUUGGUAAAAGAAUAUCCUAAAGCUUAUUUCAUCCUUGAUAAAGAAUGUAAACGCACAGAAGCCUGGGAGAUGAUAAGAAACAAAAUGUCAGAAGCUGGAUACCAGUUCACAGUUCUUCAGAUUCGCAUGCGAUGGAGGGAACUUGUUAAAACAUAUAGAACAACAAUUAAUUACAAUGACAUGCACAACGUCCGAAGAUAUUGUCAGUAUUUUGAAGAACUGACUGAUUUGUUUGGUG
This is a long non-coding RNA of Macrobrachium nipponense, 443 nucleotides long. RefSeq lists it as uncharacterized. NCBI's taxonomy places the organism in Eukaryota, Metazoa, Arthropoda, Malacostraca, Decapoda, Palaemonidae. The transcript is spliced from 3 exons. The record is from RefSeq and is a predicted model, not a curated record.